Cucumis sativus (cucumber) is the source of this 949-nucleotide long non-coding RNA. RefSeq lists it as uncharacterized. The record is from RefSeq and is a predicted model, not a curated record. NCBI's taxonomy places the organism in Eukaryota, Viridiplantae, Streptophyta, Magnoliopsida, Cucurbitales, Cucurbitaceae. The transcript has 3 exons.
ACUAUUUGAUAAUCAACCAAAACGACAAACAAAACCGUUUUCAAGACCUCAUUUAUGUUUUCGCAAUUGUAGAUUAUAAAAAAAUUGUGAGAAAGUAAUCCUUUCCAACAAAAAAACCAAAAAAAAAAAAAGUUAGGGUUAGACAUACAAGUAGUUCUAUUUGUGGGUUUGAACAUUCCAAGAAACCUAACAUCAUCUCGUGCUUUGAAUUCCACCAUACCCAAAACUUUAAAAUUGGGGCUUACUUUCAGGUAAGACUAGCUGAAUAAUCGUUUGUUAAAAGUUUGGAUUAUCAAUAAACUUUGCCCAAAAUGAUCAGAAAAAAUUUAUAUACAAAAACGAUGGUGCUACAAACUUACAAUGUUAGGGUUCUUGGUCGACGGGGCAGCAAGAAGAGCCGCUGUGUGAACCAAAUGAUAAAGAGACGCCGUUUGCCAAACCUUCACAACGUUGAAACCAAACCAACAAUCAAAAUCAAAUCGAAGAACAAAUCAUAGAAAUCGAAUCAAAGAUGAAGCAAAUCAACCUCUUUAUAAGCUGGAUUUUUGGGUUUGAAACCAUGAGCGCCGUACGUGCCCAAUCCGAGAGCUGCAACGCCUGUUUAAAGCGAAAAUCAAAUCACAAAUCGAAAAUCAUAAUCGCGAAGCAACAACAAGAGAAUCGAAGGGAGAACCACUUUACCAGAAAUCGCAGCAACUUUGUGCCAGUAAAGUGGGUUCAUCUUGUUCUUUGCUUUUGGGUUUGCUUCGACGAGGGAUUUUGUGAAAGAACCUGAAGAUUUGACCGGCGCUGUUCAUCUGACCGGUCAAUGGGUUGACUUUUCUAAGCAAAAGAACCAAAGUGUGGAGCAGUUCGUCGGGAGUAGCAGCCGGAUCGAGAUCCCAACAAUGUUCAGGCAAGUUAUUAGCUUCUCCCUUCAGUAAAUAAGAGGGUACCUGGUGGGAAAACC